This 253-nucleotide ribosomal RNA is filed under the name uncultured bacterium. RNAcentral's name for it is "partial 16S ribosomal RNA". It matches the Rfam family "Bacterial small subunit ribosomal RNA", at positions 524 to 776 of the family's 1533-position model. The record is from RNAcentral.
UACGAAGGGGGCUAGCGUUGUUCGGAAUUACUGGGCGUAAAGCGCGCGUAGGCGGCUUUGUAAGUUAGAGGUGAAAGCCCGGGGCUCAACCCCGGAACUGCCUUUAAAACUGCAUCGCUUGAAUCCGGGAGAGGUGAGUGGAAUUCCGAGUGUAGAGGUGAAAUUCGUAGAUAUUCGGAAGAACACCAGUGGCGAAGGCGGCUCACUGGACCGGCAUUGACGCUGAGGUGCGAAAGCGUGGGGAGCAAACAGG